RNAcentral lists this ribosomal RNA (388 nucleotides) under uncultured bacterium. RNAcentral's name for it is "bacterial SSU rRNA". It matches the Rfam family "Bacterial small subunit ribosomal RNA", at positions 30 to 417 of the family's 1533-position model. The record is from RNAcentral.
AUUGAACGCUGGCGGCGUGCUUAACACAUGCAAGUCGUGCGGUAACAGGCGUAGCAAUACGUGCUGACGAGCGGCGAACGGGUGCGUAAUACAUGGGAAUCUGCCCUUUAGUGGGGAAUAACCCGGCGAAAGCCGGGCUAAUGCCGCAUAAGAUCUUCGGAUGAAAGCGGGGGAUCGUAAGACCUCGCGCUGAUGGAUGAGCCCAUGUCGGAUUAGCUAGUUGGCGAGGUAACGGCUCACCAAGGCGACGAUCCGUAGCUGGUCUGAGAGGACGGCCAGCCACACUGGGACUGAGACACGGCCCAGACUCCUACGGGAGGCAGCAGUGGGAAUAUUGGACAAUGGGCGAAAGCCUGAUCCAGCGACGCCGCGUGUGUGAAGAAGGCCU